UACGUAGGGUGCGAGCGUUAAUCGGAAUUACUGGGCGUAAAGCGUGCGCAGGCGGUUAUGCAAGACAGAUGUGAAAUCCCCGGGCUCAACCUGGGAACUGCAUUUGUGACUGCAUAGCUAGAGUACGGUAGAGGGGGGAUGGAAUUCCGCGUGUAGCAGUGAAAAUGCGUAGAUAUGCGGAGGAACACCGAUGGCGAAGGCAAUCCCCCUGGACCUGUACUGACG
RNAcentral lists this ribosomal RNA (225 nucleotides) under uncultured bacterium. RNAcentral's name for it is "partial 16S ribosomal RNA". It matches the Rfam family "Bacterial small subunit ribosomal RNA", at positions 524 to 745 of the family's 1533-position model. The record is from RNAcentral.